This 465-nucleotide ribosomal RNA is filed under the name Vreelandella stevensii. RNAcentral's name for it is "partial 16S ribosomal RNA". It matches the Rfam family "Bacterial small subunit ribosomal RNA", at positions 338 to 795 of the family's 1533-position model. The record is from RNAcentral. Lineage: Bacteria; Pseudomonadati; Pseudomonadota; Gammaproteobacteria; Oceanospirillales; Halomonadaceae.
CCUACGGGUGGCAGCAGUGGGGAAUAUUGGACAAUGGGCGAAAGCCUGAUCCAGCCAUGCCGCGUGUGUGAAGAAGGCCUUCGGGUUGUAAAGCACUUUCAGUGGGGAAGAAAGCCUUGGGGCUAAUACCCUCGAGGAAGGACAUCACCCACAGAAGAAGCACCGGCUAACUCCGUGCCAGCAGCCGCGGUAAUACGGAGGGUGCGAGCGUUAAUCGGAAUUACUGGGCGUAAAGCGCGCGUAGGCGGUCUGAUAAGCCGGUUGUGAAAGCCCCGGGCUCAACCUGGGAACGGCAUCCGGAACUGUCAGGCUAGAGUGCAGGAGAGGAAGGUAGAAUUCCCGGUGUAGCGGUGAAAUGCGUAGAGAUCGGGAGGAAUACCAGGGGCGAAGGCGGCCUUCUGGACUGACACUGACGCUGAGGUGCGAAAGCGUGGGUAGCAAACAGGAUUAGAUACCCGAGUAGUC